AUGGGAGAGUUGAUUUGUAGCUUAAAAAAACACCCUCCACCUCCUCCGCGUCUCCCUGACCGCACCGGUGCCGGCGUGCGUGCCGCGGAAGCCGCUGCCUCCGGCUCCGCAACCGGUGGUAGAGGACGAGGAGAAGGAGGAGGACGACGAGGACGAGGAGAAGGAGGAGGACGACGAGGACGAGGACAUGGAUGA
RNAcentral lists this ribosomal RNA (195 nucleotides) under Triticum aestivum (bread wheat). Its description in RNAcentral is "partial small subunit ribosomal RNA". Lineage: Eukaryota; Viridiplantae; Streptophyta; Magnoliopsida; Poales; Poaceae. The record is from RNAcentral.